Molecule: long non-coding RNA, 1674 nt
Filed under: Fragaria vesca (wild strawberry)
Lineage: Eukaryota; Viridiplantae; Streptophyta; Magnoliopsida; Rosales; Rosaceae
Description: long non-coding RNA (FVES_LNC000569)
Source: RNAcentral
GUCUAGCAAUUUAGCGGGAGAGAGACAGAUCGAUCAUACCAAACUUGUAUUCUAUGACUUGGAAUUUUCUGUGCCAAUUGUUCACUACCACAAAUGUGGGCAUCAUAUACCAUUUUCUCGCCACGUUUAAUGUAAACCACAAAUGAUGCUUUCUCCCCACUUUUAAUGUAAACCACAAAUGUGGGCAUCAUAUACCAUUUUCUCCCCACGUUUAAUGUAAAGGUGACAUAACCCAAACAAUUUCUCUCCAAUUCCUCUAAUGGUGUCUUUAUUAGAAGAUUUUGAUUUUAAUUUAAUUAAUAAAAGCAAAAGGUACAAAAGGCUUCCUCAUCCUCAUCUUCCUCUAUCUAAAAGCCAUGGCUUCUGAAAUCUUUUGAAAAACCUGUCGGAAAAAAAAAAAAGUUUUUUUGAAAACCCAGGCACAGGUCAAACGACCCAGAUCUGGUCAGCACCUCACCACCGGCUCGGAGACGAGGUAGACCACUCCGUCGCCUCUUCCGGUUUUGUUUCACCGUCUCUUACCAAACCACCACCAUAUCACUUCUCUUGCUUCCGUCUCCUGAACCCAUUCCACCAGCUAGACAUGCAACCCAAACCAGAUCAAAUCGAGCAUCUCAGACUUUCCGGCCAAGUCAGGCUAUCAAAUCAUAUGCAUGCUCUCUCUGGGUCUGGGGAGUCAUUGUGUUCUGAUAGAGCCAGAAACAGGGUGAUUGGGAGUUUUUGGGAGCAAGAGCUUGCAUUUUAGGUUGACGCAGAGCUCUCCGACCAUGAUUCGGCCCCAUUCAUUUAGUCUAAUCCAGCGACGUGGCCUCGCCGGCGCUGCAUGUUGUUGGCUCAAAAAUCAUCCCGGCCACGUGUCAAUGGGCCGAGGGCUUCUUUGGGCUACAGUGUCCUUCUGACUUAGUGAUGUGUGCGAUGGUGUGCCAACUCAUGGUCGAGAGGCCAAGCGAGGUUUUGUUCUGAUAUGUAGAUGCGCUGCCCUGACUUCUGAUCAGUCGACUGUGGGCCGAGAAAUGAUCGAUCUCGGCCACGGGGUUCUCUUUGCCUUGGGUGCAAGGACUUUAACAUGGAUCGGCUUAUCUGUCGAUCUUGGUGUUGUGUGACUAGGUGAAUGUUGUGAUAGUGCAAGUGAUGCAAAUGCAGGAAUGUAAAGUGCAUCAAAUAAAGUGCAGGAAACUAAAGAAAACAUAAAGGACCAUAAGAUAAAUUGCAAGUAUGAAAAGGAACAAUAAAGUAGAUUGCAGAAAAGAUAGACAAGUACCAAUAAAGUAAAACGAUAAGAUAAAAUACGAAGAGGAUUGAUGAUAAUGCUGAGAAGCUGAAUUGUAUUGAGAUAGAAAAUUUGUAAAUCGCGUUGAGCGUUUGGUCGAGGACCACUAACAAAGAAUCCUAUGGUCUUUUUUAUAGUGAUGCAAAAUAAAGAAACGUAAUCCCAGCUUUAAACACAGGGAUGGAAUCAAAGAAUUCAACCAAAAUCUUUUGAUUCCUAUAUAAUUGCAAAUUUCUAAUAACUGUUUUUUUGAGUGAAUAAAUGAAAAAAGAAGCUCAACUAGCAAAAGAGGUAGACCAUUAUCAAUUGCAACAAUCAAAUAAAUCGACAAUUUAGUAUCCUGCAUUCCUGCAUCAUUUUGUUCAGACUUGUACGAUGGUAUUGUAGGUACGGUUGAAAUUGUU